This 828-nucleotide ribosomal RNA is filed under the name uncultured Actinomycetes bacterium. RNAcentral describes it as "bacterial SSU rRNA". It matches the Rfam family "Bacterial small subunit ribosomal RNA", at positions 68 to 918 of the family's 1533-position model. Lineage: Bacteria; Bacillati; Actinomycetota; Actinomycetes. The record is from RNAcentral.
GGAUAGGCGCUUCGGGGUACUCGAGCGGCGAACGGCGUGAGCAACACGUGCAGUAAUCUGCCCCAGGCUCUGGGAUAGCCACCGGAAACGGUGAUUAAUACCGGAUAUGACAACCGAUCACAUGAUCUGGUUGUGGAAAGUUUUUCGGCCUGGGAUGUGCUCGCGGCCUAUCAGCUUGUUGGUGAGGUAAUGGCUCACCAAGGCUUCUACGGGUAGCCGGCCUGAGAGGGUGACCGGCCACACUGGGACUGAGACACGGCCCAAACUCCUACGGGAGGCAGCAGUGGGGAAUAUUGGACAAUGGGCGGAAGCCUGAUCCAGCAACGCCCGUGAGGGAUGACGGCCUUCGGGUUGUAAACCUCUUUCAGCACAACGAAGCGAAAGUGACGGUUGUGCAGAAGAAGGACCGGCCAACUACGUGCCACUGCCGCGGUAAGACGUAAGGUCCGAGCGUUGUCCGGAAUUAUUGGGCGUAAAGGGCUCGUAGGCGGUUUGUCACGUCGGGAGUGAAAACCAGGUGCUUAACACCUGGCCUGCUUCCGAUACGGGCUGACUAGAGGUAUUCAGGGGAGAAUGGAAUUCCUGGUGUAGCGGUGAAAUGCGCAGAUAUCUGGAGGAACACCGGUGGUGAAUGCGGUUCUCUGGGAAUGACUUGACGCUGAAGAGCGAUAGUGUGGGGAGCGAACAAGAUUAGAUACUCUGGUAGUCCACACCGUAGACAUUGGGCGCUAGGUGUGAGACACAUUCCACGUGUUCCGUAGCACAGCUGACGCAUUAAGCUCCCAGCAGUGGAGUACAGCCGCAAGCUAAACUCGAUGAUUGACCGCA